AAUGGUGGCUAUGGCGAGGGUGUCCACCUCUUCCCUUUCCGAACAGAGAAGUUAAGACCCUCAGCGCUGAUGGUACUGCCGUAACACGUGGGAGAGUAAGUCGCCGCCAACA
Molecule: ribosomal RNA, 112 nt
Filed under: Cyclobacteriaceae bacterium
Lineage: Bacteria; Pseudomonadati; Bacteroidota; Cytophagia; Cytophagales; Cyclobacteriaceae
Source: RNAcentral